AAGGCUUGAUUGACCUCAGAUCA
This 23-nucleotide ribosomal RNA is filed under the name Pisolithus aurantioscabrosus. RNAcentral describes it as "partial 28S ribosomal RNA". Lineage: Eukaryota; Fungi; Basidiomycota; Agaricomycetes; Boletales; Pisolithaceae. The record is from RNAcentral.